This 20-nucleotide unclassified non-coding RNA is filed under the name Chlamydomonas reinhardtii. RNAcentral describes it as "small RNA Cre_3014". Lineage: Eukaryota; Viridiplantae; Chlorophyta; Chlorophyceae; Chlamydomonadales; Chlamydomonadaceae. The record is from RNAcentral.
UGCAGCCUCUGUUGUGUCUG